GGGGAAUAUUGCACAAUGGGCGCAAGCCUGAUGCAGCGACGCCGCGUGAGGGAUGACGGCCUUCGGGUUGUAAACCUCUUUCAGUAGGGAAGAAGCGAAAGUGACGGUACCUACAGAAGAAGCACCGGCUAACUACGUGCCAGCAGCCGCGGUAAUACGUAGGGUGCGAGCGUUGUCCGGAAUUAUUGGGCGUAAAGAGCUUGUAGGCGGUUUGUCGCGUCUGCUGUGAAAAUCCGGGGCUCAACCCCGGACUUGCAGUGGGUACGGGCAGACUAGAGUGUGGUAGGGGAGACUGGAAUUCCUGGUGUAGCGGUGAAAUGCGCAGAUAUCAGGAGGAACACCGAUGGCGAAGGCAGGUCUCUGGGCCACUACUGACGCUGAGAAGCGAAAGCAUGGGGAGCGAAC
This 405-nucleotide ribosomal RNA is filed under the name uncultured bacterium. Its description in RNAcentral is "bacterial SSU rRNA". It matches the Rfam family "Bacterial small subunit ribosomal RNA", at positions 356 to 773 of the family's 1533-position model. The record is from RNAcentral.